GGCCCUAUGGUGGAGAACACACCGGGAUGCAAGCUCGGAGACGCACCAGGAGGGUGCUAGGGUUU
This 65-nucleotide transfer RNA is filed under the name Stenodactylus petrii. Its description in RNAcentral is "tRNA-Cys". The record is from RNAcentral. Lineage: Eukaryota; Metazoa; Chordata; Lepidosauria; Squamata; Gekkonidae.